This 669-nucleotide ribosomal RNA is filed under the name uncultured Anaerolineae bacterium. RNAcentral describes it as "bacterial SSU rRNA". It matches the Rfam family "Bacterial small subunit ribosomal RNA", at positions 119 to 804 of the family's 1533-position model. The record is from RNAcentral. Lineage: Bacteria; Bacillati; Chloroflexota; Anaerolineae.
GGCUGACCUGCCCUCCAGAGGGGGAUAACGGUUGGAAACGGCCGCUAAUACCCCAUACGCUCCCUGGGGUUAGAGGACCGGGGAGGAAAGCGAUAGUGCUGGAGGAGGGGGCUGUGGCCCAUCAGCUAGUUGGUAGGGUAAAGGCCUACCAAGGCGACGACGGGUAGGGGGCCUGAGAGGGUGACCCCCCACACUGGGACUGAGACACGGCCCAGACUCCUACGGGAGGCAGCAGUAAGGGAUCUUGCGACAAUGGGCGAAAGCCUGACGCAGCAACGCCGCGUGCGGGAUGACGGCCUUCGGGUUGUAAACCGCUUUUCGAGGGGAAGAGGGAGGACGGUACCCUCGGAAUAAGUCUCGGCUAACUACGUGCCAGCAGCCGCGGUAAAACGUAGGAGGCGAGCGUUAUCCGGAUUUACUGGGUGUAAAGCGCGUGCAGGCGGUCGUGUAAGUGGUGCGUGAAAGCUCCCGGCUCAACCGGGAGAGGACGUGCCAAACUGCAGGGCUAGAGGCAGGUAGAGGCGUGUGGAAUUCCGGGUGUAGUGGUGAAAUGCGUAGAGAUCCGGAGGAACACCAGUGGCGAAGGCGACACGCUGGGCCUGGCCUGACGCUCAGACGCGAAAGCAUGGGGAGCGAACGGGAUUAGAAACCCCGGUAGUCCAUGCUGUA